Molecule: long non-coding RNA, 9136 nt
Filed under: Lactuca sativa (garden lettuce)
Lineage: Eukaryota; Viridiplantae; Streptophyta; Magnoliopsida; Asterales; Asteraceae
Description: long non-coding RNA (LSAT_LNC005810)
Source: RNAcentral
UGAGUGUGUGUGUUUACUAUAAAAUGAGGCUUAGACACCUUCAUUUCUCACUCACAAAAUCUGCCAUCAUCUUCCUCUUCUUCCCCUCUCUCUCUCUCUCUCUCAAUCUUGAUCUCUAUAUCCCUUUCUAUCUCCCUUAGAUUGAAUAACCACCAUUUCCACCACCUACUGUUGUCACAAGCUCCUCCGUCCAGCACCAAUCUUGCACCAUCACUACCAUAUUGGUGCCACCGUAUGUCCUCCAUUGCUAAGAUUAUUAUUAUUAUUAUUAUUAUUAUUAUUAUUAUUUUCCUAUGUUGUUCGAACUCACUAGGGAAGCAAGGCAAAUUCAUGUGUUUUCUUUUUUUAAAACCUCAUGCACAUAUGUGAUGUAUUUUCGAUCAGUAGCCAAAAGAAAGAAGCCAUUCAUUUCUUUUAUUAGCCAUACAUACAAAUUGUUUGUUUGAUCAGUAAAAUCUGAAAAUAAAGCUCAAACUUCCAUUUAUUUUAUUGAAAACAAACCCUCAAGUUGUGUUUAGUUUACAAAAGUAGCCCAUUCUUAUUUCUUAAUUUACAAACAACAUAUAUAUUUAUAUAUGUAAAUACGAAAGAAACAUAUAUACAUAUUUUUCUUUUUUCCUUUUUCUUUUCCAAACUUCCAUUUCAAUUAACUACAUAUAGUCCUUAUAGUAAUUCAAAAUAAUUAAAAGCCCCCUCCAUGGAAUUUCAUCGCAAAAUAAGUCCAAGAUGCAAACUUGGAAUUUAUAUAAUUCAUUUUAGCCAUUAAUUUGAAAAGUAUUGACAAACAUAACACCAUUUGAUUUAUUAAAUUAGUAAAUGGACCCCAUACCUUGGUUAAUUACCAAACUACCCUCCAAAUAUUAAUUAUAUUAAUAUUUCCUUAGGAAACUAAAUUUUCUCGGAGAUUCAUAUUCACGGAAAUACUACUCGACCUCCUCGCAUCCAUUCCAGAACACUAAUCGUCUAUCGAACGUUAAGGUGAGUGCAUAGUUACUUUCAGCUUACACAUAGAUAUGAAGUAUUUUAUAUAAAUUACGUGCUAUAUGUGCAUAUUAUCUGAAUACUUGCUAUCUAUGCUAGAUGAACAUUGUUAUACAUGUUUUCAAUGAUUUAAACUGUAUAUGUAUUUUAUAUCUACGAAAAUGUUGGGGUAAAACAUGGGUAGAUGUAAUAGCUGAUGUGUGAUAAAAUGAUGAGAGGCCUCGAUGUUGAUGUUGUUGUUUCUGUCAUCUAGCGGAGUAUGGAUGACGACCACGGACUCUUCUAGACAGUCCAGUGGAACACUAGCAGGCUCGCAACCUGUAGGUGUUUGUGAACGACGUGUUCACCGGUGUACUCCAUCCCCCACAUGGUUGCCUUUAGGACAUUUAUUGCUGAGGAAUCCCCUUAGCAGUAGUGUCCGUCCCGAUGAUGAUCCUUAGGCUAGGUCCCUUAUGAUAGGUGUUUAGGGACGUAAAGUGAGGAUAACGGGAACGGGUAAUCGGGUUAUUGUUGAUUGAAUUAAUAAACUUAUUUAUUGUGGGUUGAAAACCCUAUGUGCUCACCAGGCUCCCAAGCCUGACCCACUCAGUUUUAUGUAUUACAGGUAGUGGCGCAUGAGCAUAGGUGUGAUGUUUUGGACGAGGGAUUACGGAUAUAGGCCUGUAGAUAUGAAAUAAUGUAGUAAGGCUUAUAUUGUACUGUUUAUGCUUUUGAUCUGUACGAACAUGACAUCCCGAGUCUUUUAAUGAAAUACAUUUCUAUGGAAAUGCUUUUGAUAAAUCUUUAUCAUAUUUUUGUUUUGGGACAAAUUCCGCAACACUUUCAUUUAAAAUGUAACUCUGAUUUUUAAACAAAGCAUAAACAAACCGGUCUUUUCUGGCCGUGAUUUUGGGGAUGUCACAGUUGGUAUCAGAGCAUUAGUUUAAGCGAACUAGGAAUUUGUAGGAUUUCUAGACUUAAACUUAGAAUGCUAAGCGAUGAUUGUGAGGUGUGAGCACUAGCUUAUUUUAGGAAUUGUGCCUAAAAUGCUUUUAUGUGCUAAAUGCUUUGUGCAUAAUAUGCUGUUAAUUGUUCGGAUCUAUGGUCUGUUGCCGACCGGAUCUGGAAACCUUAUGUGUUUAGGAUUCUAAACGUACGACUACGAUAUUAGAACUAGCAUGUAAACGUUUCGGAGUGAUAAGGACGAUUUAAAACGUCUAUCCUAAAUAAAGAUCUAAAUUCACCUUAUUCGGUGUAUAGAUCAAGAUGGCAAGGACCCGUAGCGGAAACGUGAACGCAAAUGGAGGUAGGAACCAACCCCCAGUGGUUCAGCAAAUACCUGUUGUUGAAGAAGUUGCACCUGAGCCAGUCACCAUGGCUGGAGUUCAAGCCAUGAUUCAGGCUAUGCUAGCUGAACAAAGGGAAGAAAUGAGACGGAUGCUCCACGAAAAUAGGGACGAACCUACCAUACAUGUUGAACCGACGGAGCCAGUUCCCGAGCCAUCUGAGGAAGGGAACUAUAGCCGCCAAGUGAGUCAAGUAGGGACUCAAGGUGAGCAAAAGGAUGGCCCAGAAGGGAGAAACAACAAGGAUGGGCGGAUGUACAAAAAUUUCUUGGGUGCGAAACCACCAAGUCUCUCAGGAAGCCCAAAGCCUGUUGAGAUUAUGGACUGGAUCUCCGAGAUGGAGAUGGUGUUUGAGAGCUGCGACUGCAGCGAGAAGCAGAAGACUGUCUUCGCUGUGAGACAAUUGAAAACUGGAGUCUUGAGCUGGUGGAAGCUAUUGGCAGAUACAAUGCCACGGGGAGAAGCUCUGAAAAUGUCAUGGGAUGAGUUCUUGGAACAACUGAAGGCGCAGUACUGUUCAGAGAUAGACCUGAUUGAUCUGAACAAUGAGUUCCAAAAUUUGAAGAAGGGGAGAAUGAGCAUCGAUGACUAUGCUGCUGCAUUUACGGAAAAGAUGAAGUUGUUUCCAUACCUAGUGCCAACCGAACUUUCCAAAAUUGAGAAAUUCGCAAACGGACUGCCGGCUGACUUUGGCCCAACAGUCAAGAUGGCAACCACUCUGAAAUCAGCUGUUCGAGCAGCUAAGAACGUGGAGACCCAACAAAAGGAAAGAGGUCUGGAGAGGGCUGAGGUUGGUGAGAAACGGAAGUUCAAUGGAUCCUCGAAGUCCAACAAGAAGAGUAGAUUCUCGAAGUCUGGUUCGAGGGGAGGAGGAUCAGAAGCGAAGUGGUGUGACAAGUGCAAGAAGAAGCACUCUGGGAAGUGUGACGGAGGGGUCACUUGUUACAAGUGCGGAAAGCCUGGGCACUACGCCAAUGAAUGCACCCUCAACCAGAAAGCCUGUUAUGGGUGCAAUGAAGAAGGGCACAUUUUGAAGGACUGCCCGAAGAAGAAGGAGACAGGAAGACCCAACAUACCACCGAAGCCGAAGGCGAGAGCCUUCCAGAUGACGCUCGAGGCUGCAAAGGAGGCAGCAGACGUCGCUUCAGGUACCUUUCUUGUAAAUGGUUUGCCUGCAAAUAUACUAUUUGAUUCCGGAGCCAACUACUCCUUUGUGUCGCAUAAAUUUGGUGGGAAAUUAGCAUUGCCUGUAGAAAAACUAGAUAAUGCCCUGAUUGUAGAAGUUGCCAGUGGCAAAUUCGUACCUGUUAGUAAUCGUAUUAGGAACAUCGUCAUUGACCUAAACGGAAACGAAUUCCACGAAGAGCUAUUACCCAUAGAGUUAAACGGUUUCGACAUCGUUUUGGGUAUGGAUUGGCUUAGCGCCAACGAUGCUGAGAUUCAAUGCCGAAAGAAGAUAGUAAAGGUAAACCCACCCGGAAAAGAAUCAUUUAUGGUGUAUGGGGACAAACGCAGAGUGAAUUCUGGAAUCAUCUCCCUGAUGAAAGCCAGGAAAUGUUUGUCCAAAGGAUGUGCAUCAUACUUGGCAUUCGUAAUCGAUGCCAAGAAGGAGAAGAAAGAGGUGCAGAAUAUACCGGUUGUGUGUGAUUAUCCGGAAGUCUUUCCCGAAGAUCUUCCCGGAUUACCACCUGAUAGGCAAGUGGAGUUUCGUAUAGACUUGUUACCAGGAACAACACCGAUAGCAAAGGCACCUUACCGAUUAGCACCGACGGAGAUGAAGGAGCUCAUGACGCAACUUCAGGAGCUGUUGGACAACGGUUUUAUUCGACCUAGUUCAUCACCCUGGGGAGCUCCGGUGUUAUUCGUGAAGAAGAAGGACGGAAGUAUGAGAAUGUGUAUAGACUACCGAGAGCUGAAUAAGGCAACGGUGAAGAACAAGUAUCCAUUGCCGAGGAUUGAUGACCUAUUCGAUCAGCUGCAAGGUUCGAGCUACUUCUCAAAGAUCGAUCUUAGGUCAGGAUAUCAUCAGCUAAAGGUGAGAAAGCAGGAUAUUGAGAAGACUGCAUUCAGAACGAGAUAUGGACACUACGAGUUCUUGGUUAUGUCAUUCGGGCUAACCAAUGCUCCCGCAGCAUUCAUGGAUUUGAUGAAUAGGGUUUGUAAACCAUUCCUCGAUAAAUCCGUGAUAGUGUUCAUCGACGACAUUCUCAUCUACUCGAAAAGCCAAGAGGAGCAUGGCAAGCAUCUACGGGAAGUAUUAGAAGUGUUGAAGAAGGAGAAGCUUUUUGCAAAGUUCUCCAAAUGCGACUUUUGGAUACGGGAAGUCCAAUUCUUGGGUCAUGUUGUUAACCAGGAGGGAAUAAUGGUUGACCCCGCAAAGAUCGAGGCUGUAAUGAAGUGGGAACGUCCAAAGAGUCCCACGGAGAUUCGAAGCUUUCUAGGAUUAGCCGGAUAUUAUCGACGAUUUAUCCAAGGCUUUUCUUCGAUAGCUGCUCCAUUAACAGCUUUGACUCAUAAAGGAGCUACGUAUACGUGGAGUGAGAAACACGAUGAGGCAUUCGAGAAGCUAAAGAAGAAGUUAUGUGAAGCACCGAUACUUUCUCUACCCGAUGGAGUCGAAGAUUUCGCGGUUUAUAGUGACGCUUCUGGAGUCGGGUUGGGUUGUGUUCUGACCCAAAGAGAAAAGGUGAUAGCAUACGCAUCUCGACAAUUGAAAGAGCACGAAAAGAACUACCCCACUCAUGAUCUGGAGUUGGCAGCGGUAGUUUUUGCCUUAAAGAUAUGGAGGCAUUACCUCUACGGCACGAAGUGCAAGCUCUUCACUGAUCAUAAGAGUCUCCAGUAUCUCUUUAAUCAGAAGGAGUUGAACAUGAGGCAACGACGCUGGCUAGAACUUCUCAAGGACUACGACUGUGAGAUACUUUACCACCCAGGUAAAGCAAAUAUUGUUGCUGAUGCUCUCAGUCGGAAAGUCAAUCUGGAAAGGAAAAGGCCAAGAGCGUUAAGAAUUGAAGUCGUCUCGACGAUUGUGGAAAGUAUCAGGAAAGCUCAAGAAGAAGCUUUAGAGAAAAAUGACCGAAAGGAAGAACGUUUGGGAAGAACGUUAGUGUUUGGUACAAACAGUCGAGGACUGAAGGUAUUCCAAGAUCGAAUUUGGGUACCUAAGACGGGAGGAAUAAGAGAUCUUCUGAUGGAAGAAGCACACAAGACCAUGUACUCGAUUCAUCCCGGUAGCACUAAAAUGUAUAGGGACCUAAAACCCUACUACUGGUGGCCGACGAUGAAGCUCGAUGUUGCGAAGUAUGUGGCCGAGUGCGUAACAUGUGCGAGGGUUAAGGCACAACAUCAGAAACCGUAUGGGAGUUUAGAACCUUUACCUGUACCCAUGGGUAAAUGGGAAGACAUCACCAUGGAUUUUGUGACUAAACUGCCCAGGACGAAGAACGGUCACGACAUGAUUUGGGUAGUCGUGGAUCGUUUCACCAAGAGUGCACACUUCAUAGCAGCCAACGAGAAGUGGUCUAUGGAUAAGCUCGCAAAUGCUUACGUGAAGGAAAUUGUAAGACUUCACGGUGUCCCUCUUACGAUUGUAUCAGAUCGUGAUAGUCGUUUCACGUCAAGGUUUUGGAGGAGUCUACAAGAGGAGUUAGGUACAAAGUUGUGUUUGAGUACUGCUUAUCAUCCGCAAACUGAUGGUCAGAGCGAAAGAACGAUUCAGACGCUGGAAGAUAUGCUGAGAGCAUGUACCCUCGAAUUCCAAGGGAAUUGGGACGAGCACUUACCUCUGGUAGAAUUUUCCUACAACAAUAGUUUUCACUCGAGCAUCAAGAUGGCUCCUUAUCAAGCCUUGUAUGGGCAGAAGUGUCGUACGCCGUCUUGUUGGCUUGAAGCCGGAGAGAAGCAGUUUAUGGGCCCCGAGAUAGUCCAUGAGACUGCUGAGAAGUUGAAGGUGAUUAGGGAAAGGAUGUUAGCAGCCCAGGAUCGUCAGAAGAGCUAUGCUGACAAGAAAAGACGACCGAUAACUUUCGAAGUUGGGGAUUCCGUUUUGCUUAAAGUCUCACCGUGGAAGGGACUUAUACGAUUUGGGAAACGAGGAAAGUUGAGUCCAAGGUUUAUUGGACCGUUCAAAGUUCUUCAGAAGAUAGGGAACCAAGCUUACAAGCUGGAAUUGCCCGAAGAACUCAAUGGUAUUCAUAACACCUUCCAUGUGUGUUAUUUGAGGAAAUUCACGGGAGAUGUUCCCGACAUAAUUCCAAUCUCAGAGUUAAGGAUGGAUGAAAAUAAAAGGUUGAUCGAAGAGCCUGAGGCAAUUGUUGACCGUAAGACUAAGAAGUUACGACGCAAGAUGGUCGACUUGGUGCUAGUCCGAUGGAAACAUUCGAAUGGGCCGAAUCUCACUUGGGAAACAGAGGAUGACAUGAUGAGUCGCUAUCCACAUCUGUUUGCUGAUGCAUGAUUCCGGGACGGAAUCAUCCUAAGGGGGAGAGAAUUGUAACGCCCGGGUUUCAGGGCUAAGCAUUUUUGUCAAUGUAAUAGUCUAGGUCAACUCUUGUAACUCUUUUUGAAGUAAUAAAGAUGAAAUAUUUGAGUAUUAUGUGAAUUAUAUGUGUUUAUUAUUUAAUUAUAAAUGUAUAAUUAAUAAAGAAUAAAAAUGAGCGUCAAAAUUAAAGUGUGAGAUAAUCCCGAUAUCUCUACAUAAAGUUGUAGAAUAUGUCUCAAGGUUUCCGUGCAUAUAAGGAACGCCGAAAUCCGAGUUAUAACGAAGAAGUUAUGACCCGUCGAAGUUUCACGACAGAACCGGCACGAUACCGGGAAGCGUGAAUAGUGAAUUUACGAUAGAGCGAGAUUUAGCCUUAGUGAUCUAAACGAAAGUCGUAGAAUAUGUUAAACUAAGAACAUCGAUAAAAAGAACGCCCAAAUCUGACUUCGUAUGAAGAAGUUAUGAGAUUUUAAACAGACCAAUCCUGUCCCGGCUUGUUAAAAAUAUAACUUUAAAAAUAAAGUCAAAAUUAGCCGACGGAGUCUAAACGAAAGUUGUAGAGUACGUCUUCACCUACGCGUGGAUAUAAAGAACGUCAAAAACGGAGUUCGUAUGAACGAGUUACAAAUUAUAAUAGCAUAUUUACGUAUUAAAAUAAAGUAUAAAUCAUGUAUACGUACACAUAUAUAUACAUAUGUAUAUAUCAUUAGAAAGGUAUCGACGAUGCGGUCAUUAUAAGACUAAUGUUGAGUUCUUUCGACAUUAGUUUAGUACAAAUAUCAUUAAAUCCAUUUAUAAUAGUAUUAUAGAGGGGUGUUUAGUUGUUUAUAUAACUAAAAGGUCAUUAAGUAAUUAUGGAGGGUAGUUUUUGAAAAUUCAAUUAGUAUAAAUAAGAGCCUUGGGCUCUCAUAUUUCUUGCACCAUUCUCUUGAUUCAAGAGUCUUUCUCUCCUUAUCCCCCGAGCAUUUCGGUCCCUCGUGAUUCGACUUCUCUUUCUGUAGCUUAGUAUAGUAAGGUGAGCGCUGAAGCGCUGCACGAAUCUUUCUUAGAAAGAUUCAGCGACGAAGUUCUGCCCCUGCAGAGCCCGACUCCUAGCUAAAACCCCCUUGUAAGUAAGUUAUGCUUACCUUAUUUUAAUAUAGCUUAUAUUUAAAAUUAGUAUUGUUAUUAUGAACUUAUAAUAAAUAUUUGAGCUAUUAUUAUAACUUAUAUAAGUGUCGUUAUAAUAUUUUUUUUAACUACUCGCGGUACGGGGAAUCUGGUUUAAAGGGCCGCAUAGGGUUGUUGGAUUUCAGAAGUGCUAUAUGCCAAAAUGGUCCUGCCCUCCGGUGUUUUAUGUCUGGCCCCUGUCUGUACAUAGUGGUUGGAAAAUAUUGUUUAACGCUUAUAUAAUAAUAAUAAUACUAAGACUAAUAGUUGGUCACGGUAAAUAUUAGACUAAAAUUUAGCGAUAAUAAUGCUAGGUUUCGUCGAAGGAAAAUAGAAUCGUUAGAAGCAAGCGCUGCCCGAUUUUGGAAUCAUCACCUUAACAAGUGAGUGCAUAGUUACUUUCAACUUACACAUAGAUAUGAAGUAUUUUAUAUAAAUUACGUGCUAUGUGUGCAUAUUAUCUGAAUACUUGCUAUCUAUGCUAGAUGAACGUUGUUAUACAUGUUUUCAAUGAUUUAAACUGUAUAUGUAUUUUAUAUCUACGAAAAUGUUGGGGUAAAACAUGGGUAGAUGCAAUAGGUGAUGUGUGAUAAAAUGAUGAGAGGCCUCGAUGUUGAUGUUGUUGUUUCUGUCAUCUAGCGGAGUAUGGAUGACGACCACGGACUCUUCUAGACAGUCCAGUGGAACGCUAGCAGGCUCGCAACCUGUAGGUGUUUGUGAACGAUAUGUUCACCGGUGUACUCCAUCCCCCACAUGGUUGCCUUUAGGACAUUUAUUGCUGAGGAAUCCCCUUAGCAGUAGUGUCCGUCCCGAUGAUGAUCCUUAGGCUAGGUCCCUUAUGAUAGGUGUUUAGGGACGUAAAGUGAGGAUAACGGGAACGGGUAAUCGGGUUAUUGUUGAUUGAAUUAAUAAACUUAUUUAUUGUGGGUUGAAAACCCUGUGUGCUCACCAGGCUCCCAAGCCUGACCCACUUAGUUUUAUGUAUUACAGGUAGUGGCGCAUGAGCAUAGGUGUGAUGUUUUGGACGAGGGAUUACGGAUAUAGGCCUGUAGAUAUGAAAUAAUGUAGUAAGGCUUAUAUUGUACUGUUUAUGCUUUUGAUCUGUACGAACAUGACAUCCCGAGUCUUUUAAUGAAAUACAUUUCUAUGGAAAUGCUUUUGAUAAAUCUUUAUCAUAUUUUUGUUUUGGGACAAAUUCCGC